This 169-nucleotide ribosomal RNA is filed under the name uncultured bacterium. RNAcentral's name for it is "partial 16S ribosomal RNA". It matches the Rfam family "Bacterial small subunit ribosomal RNA", at positions 338 to 524 of the family's 1533-position model. The record is from RNAcentral.
CCUACGGGAGGCAGCAGCAAGGAAUUUUCCCCAAUGGGCGCAAGCCUGAGGGAGCAACGCCGCGUGCAGGACGACGGCCUUCGGGUUGUAAACUGCUUUUGGGAGGGACGAUAGUGACGGUACCUCCCGAAUAAGCCCCGGCUAACUCUGUGCCAGCAGCCGCGGUAAU